RNAcentral lists this ribosomal RNA (473 nucleotides) under uncultured bacterium. RNAcentral's name for it is "bacterial SSU rRNA". It matches the Rfam family "Bacterial small subunit ribosomal RNA", at positions 28 to 502 of the family's 1533-position model. The record is from RNAcentral.
GAUGAACGCUGGCGGCGUGCUUAACACAUGCAAGUCGAACGGGAAAUCUUUUAUUGAAGCUUCGGCAGAUAUAGCUGGUUUCUAGUGGCGGACGGGUGAGUAACGCGUGGGUAACCUGCCCUAUACAGGGGGAUAACAACCAGAAAUGGUUGCUAAUACCGCAUAAGCGCACAGGACCGCAUGGUUCGGUGUGAAAAACUCCGGUGGUAUAGGAUGGACCCGCGUUGGAUUAGCCAGUUGGCAGGGUAACGGCCUACCAAAGCGACGAUCCAUAGCCGGCCUGAGAGGGUGAACGGCCACAUUGGGACUGAGACACGGCCCAGACUCCUACGGGAGGCAGCAGUGGGGAAUAUUGCACAAUGGGGGAAACCCUGAUGCAGCGACGCCGCGUGAAGGAAGAAGUAUCUCGGUAUGUAAACUUCUAUCAGCAGGGAAGAUAGUGACGGUACCUGACUAAGAAGCCCCGGCUAACU